This 462-nucleotide ribosomal RNA is filed under the name Engaeus sericatus. RNAcentral describes it as "partial large subunit ribosomal RNA". It matches the Rfam family "Bacterial large subunit ribosomal RNA", at positions 1930 to 2601 of the family's 2925-position model. The record is from RNAcentral. Lineage: Eukaryota; Metazoa; Arthropoda; Malacostraca; Decapoda; Parastacidae.
GCCGCGGUAUUUUGACCGUGCGAAGGUAGCAUAAUCAUUAGUCUUUUAAUUGAAGGCUUGUAUGAAGGGUUGGACGAGAAAUAAGCUGUCUUUAUUGGAAAAAUAGAAUUUAACUUUUAAGUGAGAGGGCUUAAAUGUUCUAAAGGGACGAUAAGACCCUAUAAAGUUUGACAUUUUAUUCAUUAAAAAAUAAAAUAAUUAAUUAAUUUUUAUUAUUGGGGUAAUGUUUUGUUGGGGCGAUUAGAAUAUAAAAAAUUUAACUGUUUUAUAUUAAUACAAAGUUGUUUGAGUGUUUUGAUCCUUAAUAAAGGUAUUAGAGUAAAUUACUUUAGGGAUAACAGCGUAAUUUUUUUUGAGAGUUCUUAUCGACAAAAAAGUUUGCGACCUCGAUGUUGAAUUAAAGAAUUCUUUAUAGCGCAGAAGUUAUAAAAGAAGGUCUGUUCGACCUUUAAAUCUUUACAU